UACGGGGGGGGCAAGCGUUGUUCGGAAUUACUGGGCGUAAAGGGCUCGUAGGCGGCCAACUAAGUCGGACGUGAAAUCCCCAGGCUCAACCUGGGAACUGCGUCCGAUACUGGAUGGCUUGAAUUCGGGAGAGGGAUGCGGAAUUCCAGGUGUAGCGGUGAAAUGCGUAGAUAUCUGGAGGAACACCGGUGGCGAAGGCGGCAUCCUGGACCGACACUGACGCUGAGGAGCGAAAGCCAGGGGAGCAAACGGG
Molecule: ribosomal RNA, 253 nt
Filed under: uncultured bacterium
Lineage: Bacteria
Description: partial 16S ribosomal RNA
Rfam family: Bacterial small subunit ribosomal RNA
Source: RNAcentral